RNAcentral lists this ribosomal RNA (404 nucleotides) under uncultured bacterium. Its description in RNAcentral is "partial 16S ribosomal RNA". It matches the Rfam family "Bacterial small subunit ribosomal RNA", at positions 29 to 526 of the family's 1533-position model. The record is from RNAcentral.
AGUGAACGCUGGCGGUAGGCCUACACAUGCAAGGCGAACGAGUGGCGGGCGGGUGAGGACUACAACGGAAUCUACUCUGUCGUGGGGGACAACGUAGGGAAACUUACGCUAAUACCGCAUACGAUCGAAUGAGACGAUGUCGGAUUGGCUAGCUGGCGGGGUAACGGCCCACCAAGGCGACGAUCCGUAGCUGGUCUGAGAGGAUGAUCAGCCACACUGGAACUGAGACACGGUCCAGAAUCCUACGGGAGGCAGCAGUGGGGAAUAUUGGACAAUGGGCGCAAGCCUGAUCCAGCCAUACCGCGUGGGUGAAGAAGGCCUUCGGGUUGUAAAGCCCUUUUGUUGGGAGGCGUUACCAACAGAAUAAGCACCGGCUAACUUCGUGCCAGCAGCCGCGGUAAUUC